Bufo bufo (common toad) is the source of this 238-nucleotide long non-coding RNA. RefSeq lists it as uncharacterized. The transcript has 3 exons. Lineage: Eukaryota; Metazoa; Chordata; Amphibia; Anura; Bufonidae. The record is from RefSeq and is a predicted model, not a curated record.
GACCUCGUUUCAAUGCCGCCAAAAGAACAAACUACCUCGGCGUGCCCGUAUUUACCUUGUGUCCUCUGACACACAAGGAGAGGAGUCAAGGAGAGCCGGGACAUUAUCUGAAGGCUGCUGUUUUUGGAACAAGAUCAAACUACUGCUGCGGCACAACCGUGUUCACCCUGUGUCCUCUGAGGCAGAGGAGCCAGGAAGAGGCGAGACAACAACCAAAUGCUGCCGUUCUAGGAACAAG